Molecule: RNA transcript, 1028 nt
Organism: Beta vulgaris subsp. vulgaris (sugar beet)
Lineage: Eukaryota; Viridiplantae; Streptophyta; Magnoliopsida; Caryophyllales; Amaranthaceae
Exons: 8
Source: RefSeq, a predicted model, not a curated record
ACGCUAUUCAAUGGUCAUAAAAAAAACACGACCCACCUUAUUUCCAACCCUAUCUCUAUCUAUUCUUAUUCUCUCACCAUCACAACCGUCCUCUUUCUUCGUCUCUUUCUCGCUCUUCUUCAUCGACGGUAUUCAAUGGUCCGCUACCACACUUUCUAUGAUUUGAAGAGGUUCGAUCGAUUUCUGAGCCAAUCACCGUCGCAGGUUGUUUCGGUGAAGUUUCGGGGAUGGCGGUUUCGUCGGCGUUGGUUGGGGUUUUCGUGGGUGGGUAGGGUGGAUGUGAGGGUGGCUGGGUCGUGGGGGGUGGGUGAGGGUGGAGGUUGUGCGGCUUGUCUCUUUCUCCAACAAGUGCUCCUUCUUCAGAUAUUGAACAUCGAUGGGUUAACUGGCGGGUUCAAUUUUCAGGUUGUGUACUUUCAAUACUAUGGUGAUAUUCCCAAGGGCUCUAUAACACUAUAUCCAAUGUUUAUGUUGGCAAAAAGCUCAUUCAAUUUUCAUAACAUCCGUUGUUCAUUCUUUAUUUUUGUCAGGCAAGUACAUACUAGCUGGUCAUCUAGUUGGCGAAAGCUUGUUUUGUUCUUACAGGUUAGUUGCCAGAUGCAACACACAAGAAAGAGAUUACAUGAAUUCUGGGAGGCUAACAUGAUAUGCUUUUUUUCUAGCAGCAGAAAUUAGUUAGAAUAACUAUUAUCAAAGGUUGGCAGCAAAGGAUGUGUAUCUUGUCAAGAAAAAGCGGGACGAUGCUGGUAUGGAUAUCGAAUGCACAAGUUGCCGUACAACAUGCUCUGAGGAUUGUGUUUGCAGGGUUAUGAGAUUUGCGCUUGAGUUCCAGAUUUGAAGUUGGUUUCGAUCUAGAUACCAGAUUUAAAGUCCGUUUUGGUUCCAGAUUUUUGUUGUGGAGUCUAAAGUGUACAUGUAAUUAUAUGAGAUUUGUAUUAGAUUUUGUUCGAAGUAUACUAGAAUUUAGUUCUAGAAUUAUUUUUUCACUUGUAAUUACAUUUAUUAUCAAUAAUAAUUGAAUUGAUUAA